RNAcentral lists this ribosomal RNA (253 nucleotides) under uncultured bacterium. RNAcentral describes it as "partial 16S ribosomal RNA". It matches the Rfam family "Bacterial small subunit ribosomal RNA", at positions 524 to 776 of the family's 1533-position model. The record is from RNAcentral.
UACGGAGGGAGCUAGCGUUGUUCGGAAUUACUGGGCGUAAAGCGCGCGUAGGCGGCUUUGUAAGUUAGAGGUGAAAGCCCGGAGCUCAACUCCGGAACUGCCAUUGAAACUGUUAGACUUGAGGACGAGAGAGGUGAGUGGAAUUCCCAGUGUAGAGGUGAAAUUCGUAGAUAUUGGGAAGAACACCGGUGGCGAAGGCGGCUCACUGGCUCGUAUCUGACGCUCAGGCGCGACAGCGUGGGGAUCAAACAGG